CAAUGGCAGGUACANCGGGAAGCCAGGCGGCGACGCCGAGCGGAACCCGAAAAACCCUAGUCUCAGUUCGGAUCGGAGUCUGCAACCCGACUCCGUGAAGCUGGAUUCGCUAGUAAUCGCGCAUCAGCCAUGGCGCGGUGAAUACGUUCCCGGGCCUUGUACACACCGCCCGUCAAGCCAUGGAAGCCGGGGUGCCUGAAGUGUGCAGCCGCAAGGAGCGCCCUAAGGUAAAACCGGUGACUGGGGCUAAGUCGUAACAAGGUACC
Molecule: ribosomal RNA, 266 nt
Filed under: uncultured bacterium
Lineage: Bacteria
Description: partial 16S ribosomal RNA
Rfam family: Bacterial small subunit ribosomal RNA
Source: RNAcentral